GGUGCAUGGUUGUCGUCAGCUCGUGUCGUGAGAUGUUGGUUAAGUCCGCAACGAGCGCAACCCCUAUUCGUUAGUUGCCAUCAUUCAGUUGGGCACUCUAGCGAGACUGCCGGUAAUAAACCGGAGGAAGGUGGGGAGUGACGUCAAUCAUCAUGCCCCUUAUGACCUGGGCUACACACGUGCUACAAUGGUUGGUACAACGAGUUGCGAGUCGGUGACGGCGAGCUAAUCUCUUAAAGCCAAUCUCAGUUCGGAUUGUAGGCUGCAACUCGCCUACAUGAAGUCGGAAUCGCUAGUAAUCGCGGAUCAGCACGCCGCGGUGAAUACGUUCCCGGGCCUU
RNAcentral lists this ribosomal RNA (340 nucleotides) under uncultured Streptococcus sp. Its description in RNAcentral is "bacterial SSU rRNA". It matches the Rfam family "Bacterial small subunit ribosomal RNA", at positions 1040 to 1382 of the family's 1533-position model. Lineage: Bacteria; Bacillati; Bacillota; Bacilli; Lactobacillales; Streptococcaceae. The record is from RNAcentral.